CCCAAUGCUGUUCUUGUAAUAGUGAGUUAGUUCUCAUGAGAUCUGAUGAUUUUAUAAAGGGCUUUUCUCCUCUUCACUCAUUCUUCCCCUUCCUGCCGCCAAUGUGAAGAAAGACGUAAUUGCUUCCCCUUCCGCCAUGAUUGUAAGUUUCCUGAGGCUCCCCCCACCACGGAACCGACAUGAGUGUGAUAUCAUUUUUUGAAAAAGGAAUUCUACCAUAACAAAAACAAACAAGAAAAAGCAAAAACCUUUGUGAGUCACCAGCAGAAAGAAAACUUCUGAAGGAUCAACAAAGCCUAAAUGAUAGCACAUCUGUUUACAGCAUGGUUACUGAACAUAUUAGCCCACUGUUGAGACCUUUUGUUCAGGAAAAAAAGAUUACUGUCAAAAUAUUACUGCUCAUUGACAAUGCACCUAGUCACCCAACAGCUAUAUAAAGGUGUGCAAGGAGAAUGCACACCUUGUAAAUGUUGUUUUUAUGCCUGUGAACACAAUAUCCAUUCUGCAGCCCAUGG
This 515-nucleotide long non-coding RNA is filed under the name Homo sapiens (human). RNAcentral's name for it is "HSALNT0213808". The record is from RNAcentral. Lineage: Eukaryota; Metazoa; Chordata; Mammalia; Primates; Hominidae.